UACGUAGGGUGCAAGCGUUGUCCGGAAUUAUUGGGCGUAAAGAGCUCGUAGGCGGUUUGUCGCGUCUGGUGUGAAAAUCCAGGGCUUAACCCUGGACCUGCAUCGGGUACGGGCAGACUAGAGUGCGGUAGGGGAGAUCGGAAUUCCUGGUGUAGCGGUGAAAUGCGCAGAUAUCAGGAAGAACACCAAUGGCGAAGGCAGCUCUCUGGGACGGUACUGACGCUGAGACGCGAAAGCGUGGGGAGCGAACAGG
Molecule: ribosomal RNA, 253 nt
Filed under: uncultured bacterium
Lineage: Bacteria
Description: partial 16S ribosomal RNA
Rfam family: Bacterial small subunit ribosomal RNA
Source: RNAcentral